RNAcentral lists this small nuclear RNA (22 nucleotides) under Arabidopsis thaliana (thale cress). RNAcentral's name for it is "snRNA_07439". The record is from RNAcentral. Lineage: Eukaryota; Viridiplantae; Streptophyta; Magnoliopsida; Brassicales; Brassicaceae.
ACAUAGUGAAACUUUCCAUUUU